UUCAAUCACCCCUAAAUAAAUAAAUAAAAAAAAGGGAAAAACGUCAUCUAAUGGUUGCAUUAUCGUUUCCGCACGGUAAUAACAAAAAGAGUUAGAUAUAUGGUUUCAUUUUUGGUUGAUUUCCAAAUGAACUUCAUGGAAUGAACAUUCAAGGUGCUCAGUAUCUUCUUGAUUGAUUUUAUGAAAUAUUUAUACCUGUGCUGGGCGGAAAGAUUGGGGCUUUCUCAAAGAGUUUUUCUUUGUGGGUGCCACAGCUGUCCAAUAAUUGGUUAUGCAUGAGCUGCUUGGACUGCCAAUGAUGCGUGACCAUGCCCAAUUUGUGCCCUCAACUCGUCGCAUUUCUGCCAACUGCCAUUAAACUGCAAGAGCCAAUCAAAAAAACGUGAUUGCCGUGGAAGCAUGGGCUAGGAGAUGUGACCAAGGUCACACCUUUACGAGGGUGCCGUGCUCAACCCAGCUCCAACCUUCACCUGUAUUCCAAUGAUGUUCAACAAGUCCACCAUCUUCAGACAGCACAAAUAGCGAUCCUGUGAGUGAUAGAGAUGAUGACCUCAUAGCAGUUACUGGAAAUCUUGAUAGAUCAAAUGGUGAGACUGAUAAUGCUCAUACCACAGUUUUUCACUUUGUUAUAUUGAUAAGCUGACUGUUUCUUCCAAUGAAAAAUACUAUAUUUUCCCUGAAAAGCUUCUGGUCUACUAUGCUUGCUACAUUGGCAUUUGGGGGAUUUCCACAGUCUUUCCAUUUAAACUUCCUCAAGGCAACCUGUUAGUGAUUUGAAUCAUGAUCAGCAUAAACAUUGUAGGAAUCUGAUCAGCAAGAACAAGGAACUGGAGUGAUGGAAGUCAGUUGACUAUUUCUGGGACUUCCAUGAAUUAUCCAUUUCCAUUUCCUCUGAUGUAAACGUCUCUCUACCAAUUUCCCAUCCUGUAUAUAAAUGAAAUAUUGUUAACAUAUGGC
Manihot esculenta (cassava) is the source of this 957-nucleotide long non-coding RNA. RefSeq lists it as uncharacterized. The record is from RefSeq and is a predicted model, not a curated record. The transcript has 4 exons. Lineage: Eukaryota; Viridiplantae; Streptophyta; Magnoliopsida; Malpighiales; Euphorbiaceae.